This 207-nucleotide ribosomal RNA is filed under the name uncultured Romboutsia sp. RNAcentral describes it as "partial 16S ribosomal RNA". It matches the Rfam family "Bacterial small subunit ribosomal RNA", at positions 568 to 775 of the family's 1533-position model. Lineage: Bacteria; Bacillati; Bacillota; Clostridia; Peptostreptococcales; Peptostreptococcaceae. The record is from RNAcentral.
UGCGUAGGUGGUUUCUUAAGUCAGAGGUGAAAGGCUACGGCUCAACCGUAGUAAGCCUUUGAAACUGAGGAACUUGAGUGCAGGAGAGGAGAGUAGAAUUCCUAGUGUAGCGGUGAAAUGCGUAGAUAUUAGGAGGAAUACCAGUUGCGAAGGCGGCUCUCUGGACUGUAACUGACACUGAGGCACGAAAGCGUGGGGAGCAAACAG